This 301-nucleotide ribosomal RNA is filed under the name uncultured bacterium. Its description in RNAcentral is "partial 16S ribosomal RNA". It matches the Rfam family "Bacterial small subunit ribosomal RNA", at positions 509 to 807 of the family's 1533-position model. The record is from RNAcentral.
CAGUAGCCACGGGAAUGCGUAGGUGGCAAGCGUUGUCCGGAAUUAUUGGGCGUAAAGCGCGCGCAGGUGGUUUAAUAAGUCUGAUGUGAAAGCCCACGGCUCAACCGUGGAGGGUCAUCGGAAACUGUUAAACUUGAGUGCAGGAGAGAAAAGUGGAAUUCCUAGUGUAGCGGUGAAAUGCGUAGAGAUUAGGAGGAACACCAGUGGCGAAGGCGGCUUUUUGGCCUGUAACUGACACUGAGGCGCGAAAGCGUGGGGAGCAAACAGGAUUAGAUACCCCGGUAGUCCCUGUCUCUUAUAC